GAGAUCACUACGAGAUGGA
This 19-nucleotide non-coding RNA is filed under the name Arabidopsis thaliana (thale cress). The record is from RNAcentral. Lineage: Eukaryota; Viridiplantae; Streptophyta; Magnoliopsida; Brassicales; Brassicaceae.